RNAcentral lists this transfer RNA (85 nucleotides) under Candidatus Taylorbacteria bacterium RIFCSPLOWO2_02_FULL_46_40. Its description in RNAcentral is "tRNA-Ser". It matches the Rfam family "tRNA". Rfam says of the family: Transfer RNA (tRNA) molecules are approximately 80 nucleotides in length. Their secondary structure includes four short double-helical elements and three loops (D, anti-codon, and T loops). Further hydrogen bonds mediate the characteristic L-shaped molecular structure. tRNAs have two regions of fundamental functional importance: the anti-codon, which is responsible for specific mRNA codon recognition, and the 3' end, to which the tRNAs corresponding amino acid is attached (by aminoacyl-tRNA synthetases). tRNAs cope with the degeneracy of the genetic code in two manners: having more than one tRNA (with a specific anti-codon) for a particular amino acid; and 'wobble' base-pairing, i.e. permitting non-standard base-pairing at the 3rd anti-codon position. RNAcentral also lists the same sequence under 1 other name. The record is from RNAcentral. Lineage: Bacteria; Candidatus Tayloriibacteriota.
GGAGGGUUCGCAUAGAGGUCUAGUGCGCUCGCUUGGAGAGCGAGUAUGGGGCAACCCAUCGAGAGUUCGAAUCUCUCACCCUCCG